UGGCUCAUAACGAACGCUGGCGGCAUGCCUAACACAUGCAAGUCGAACGAGACCUUCGGGUCUAGUGGCGCACGGGUGCGUAACGCGUGGGAAUCUGCCCUUGGGUCCGGAAUAACAGUUAGAAAUGACUGCUAAUACCGGAUGAUGUCUUCGGACCAAAGAUUUAUCGCCCAGGGAUGAGCCCGCGUAGGAUUAGCUUGUUGGUGAGGUAAAGGCUCACCAAGGCGACGAUCCUUAGCUGGUCUGAGAGGAUGAUCAGCCACACUGGGACUGAGACACGGCCCAGACUCCUACGGGAGGCAGCAGUGGGGAAUAUUGGACAAUGGGCGAAAGCCUGAUCCAGCAAUGCCGCGUGAGUGAUGAAGGCCUUAGGGUUGUAAAGCUCUUUUGCCAGGGAUGAUAAUGACAGUACCUGGAGAAUAAGCUCCGGCUAACUCCGUGCCAGCAGCCGCGGUAAUACGGAGGGAGCUAGCGUUGUUCGGAAUUACUGGGCGUAAAGC
RNAcentral lists this ribosomal RNA (500 nucleotides) under uncultured bacterium. RNAcentral's name for it is "bacterial SSU rRNA". It matches the Rfam family "Bacterial small subunit ribosomal RNA", at positions 20 to 566 of the family's 1533-position model. The record is from RNAcentral.